RNAcentral lists this ribosomal RNA (386 nucleotides) under uncultured bacterium. Its description in RNAcentral is "bacterial SSU rRNA". It matches the Rfam family "Bacterial small subunit ribosomal RNA", at positions 29 to 420 of the family's 1533-position model. The record is from RNAcentral.
AUUGAACGCUGGCGGCAUGCUUUACACAUGCAAGUCGAACGGUAGACCCUUUCGGGGGUUGAGAGUGGCGAACGGGUGAGUAAUGCAUCGGAACGUGCCUAGUCGUGGGGGAUAACGUAGCGAAAGUUACGCUAAUACCGCAUACGCACUGAGGGGGAAAGCGGGGGACCGUAAGGCCUCGCGCGAUUGGAGCGGCCGAUGUCGGAUUAGCUAGUUGGUGAGGUAAAGGCUCACCAAGGCGACGAUCCGUAGCGGGUCUGAGAGGAUGAUCCGCCACACUGGGACUGAGACACGGCCCAGACUCCUACGGGAGGCAGCAGUGGGGAAUUUUGGACAAUGGGCGCAAGCCUGAUCCAGCCAUGCCGCGUGCGGGAAGAAGGCCUCGG